Molecule: ribosomal RNA, 253 nt
Filed under: uncultured bacterium
Lineage: Bacteria
Description: partial 16S ribosomal RNA
Rfam family: Bacterial small subunit ribosomal RNA
Source: RNAcentral
UACGUAGGGUCCGAGCGUUGUCCGGAAUUACUGGGCGUAAAGAGCUCGUAGGCGGUCUGUCGCGUCUGCUGUGAAAACUCAGGGCUUAACCCUGAGCUUGCAGUGGGUACGGGCAGACUAGAGUUCGGCAGGGGAGACUGGAAUUCCUGGUGUAGCGGUGAAAUGCGCAGAUAUCAGGAGGAACACCGGUGGCGAAGGCGGGUCUCUGGGCCGAUACUGACGCUGAGGAGCGAAAGCGUGGGGAGCGAACAGG